This 458-nucleotide ribosomal RNA is filed under the name uncultured bacterium. RNAcentral describes it as "partial 16S ribosomal RNA". It matches the Rfam family "Bacterial small subunit ribosomal RNA", at positions 29 to 507 of the family's 1533-position model. The record is from RNAcentral.
AACGAACGCUGGCGGCAGGCCUAACACAUGCAAGUCGAGCGAGGACUCCGGCUCUAGCGGCGGACGGGUGAGUAAAGCGUGGGAAUGUGCCUUUCUCUAUGGCCUAGCCCUGGGAAACAGGGCGUAAUACCGUAUCUGCUCUCUUGGGGAACGAAUUAUCGGAGGAGGAUCAGCCGGCGGUGGAUUAGCUAGUGGGUGGGGGAAUGGCCCACCAAGGCGACGAUCCGUAGCUGGUUUGAGAGGAUGAUCAGCCACCCUGGGACUGAGACACGGCCCAGACUCCUACGGGAGGCAGCAGUGGGGAAUUUUGGACAAUGGGGGCAACGCUGAUCCAGCCAUCCCGCGUGUGCGAUGAAGGCCUUCGGGUUGUAAAGCACUUUUGGCAGGAAAGAAACGUCGCGGGCUAAUACCCCGUGGAAAUGACGGUACCUACAGAAUAAGCACCGGCUAACUACGUG